UACAGAGACUGCGAGCGUUAUUCGGAUUCACUGGGCGUAAAGGGUGCGCAGGUGGCAGUUCAAGUCUGCUGUCAAAGACCGGGGCUUAACUUCGGAAAGGCAGUGGAAACUGAACAGCUAGAGUAUGGUAGGGGCAGAGGGAAUUCCUGGUGUAGCGGUGAAAUGCGUAGAGAUCAGGAAGAACAUCGGUGGCGAAGGCGCUCUGCUGGACCAUAACUGACACUCAGGGACGAAAGCUAGGGGAGCGAACGGG
Molecule: ribosomal RNA, 253 nt
Filed under: uncultured bacterium
Lineage: Bacteria
Description: partial 16S ribosomal RNA
Rfam family: Bacterial small subunit ribosomal RNA
Source: RNAcentral